RNAcentral lists this ribosomal RNA (465 nucleotides) under uncultured bacterium. RNAcentral describes it as "bacterial SSU rRNA". It matches the Rfam family "Bacterial small subunit ribosomal RNA", at positions 338 to 795 of the family's 1533-position model. The record is from RNAcentral.
CCUACGGGGGGCAGCAGUGGGGAAUCUUCCGCAAUGGGCGCAAGCCUGACGGAGCAAUGCCGCGUGAGUGAAGAAGGCCUUCGGGUUGUAAAACUCUGUCCUAAGGGAAGAAUGUUACCUAUGAGAAUAUUGUAGGUAAAUGACGGUACCUUAGGAGGAAGCCCCGGCUAACUACGUGCCAGCAGCCGCGGUAAUACGUAGGGGGCUAGCGUUAUCCGGAAUUACUGGGCGUAAAGGGUGCGUAGGCGGCCCUUCAAGUCAGAGGUGAAAGGCUACGGCUCAACCGUAGUAAGCCUUUGAAACUGUAGGGCUUGAGUGCAGGAGAGGAGAGUGGAAUUCCCAGUGUAGCGGUGAAAUGCGUAGAUAUUGGGAGGAACACCAGUUGCGAAGGCGGCUCUCUGGACUGUAACUGACGCUGAGGCACGAAAGCGUGGGGAGCGAACAGGAUUAGAUACCCCAGUAGUC